CCUUCGGGUGUGAAUUAGCGGCGAACCGGUGAGGAACACGUGAAGAAUCUGCCUUCAACUCUGGGAUAACUCCGGGAAACCGGGGCUAAUACCGGAUAUGAGCCUUGAUCGCAUGAUCGGGGCUGGAAAGUUUUUCGGUUGAAGAUGACUUCGCGGCCUAUCAGCUUGUUGGUGAGGUAAUGGCUCACCAAGGCGACGACGGGUAGCCGGCCUGAGAGGGCGACCGGCCACACUGGGACUGAGACACGGCCCAGACUCCUACGGGAGGCAGCAGUGGGGAAUAUUGGGCAAUGGAGGAAACUCUGACCCAGCGACGCCGCGUGAGGGAUGAAGGCCUUCGGGUUGUAAACCUCUUUCAGUAGGGAAGAAGCGAAAGUGACGGUACCUACAGAAGAAGCACCGGCUAACUAUGUGCCAGCAGCCGCGGUAAUACAUAGGGUGCAAGCGUUGUCCGGAAUUAUUGGGCGUAAAGAGCUCGUAGGUGGUUCGAUACGUCGGAUGUGAAAAUCAGGGGCUCAACCCCUGACCUGCAUCCGAUACGGUCGAGCUGGAGUUUGGUAGGGGAGACUGGAAUUCCUGGUGUAGCGGUGGAAUGCGCAGAUAUCAGGAGGAACACCGAUGGCGAAGGCAGGUCUCUGGGCCAAUACUGACACUGAGGAGCGAAAGCGUGGGGAGCGAACAGGAUUAGAUACCCUGGUAGUCCGCGCCGUAAACGGUGGGCGCUAGUUGUGCGAACCUUCCACGGUUUGUGCGACGCAGCUAACGCAUUAAGCGCCCCGCCUGGGGAGUACGAUCGCAAGAUUAAAAC
RNAcentral lists this ribosomal RNA (808 nucleotides) under uncultured Actinomycetales bacterium. Its description in RNAcentral is "bacterial SSU rRNA". It matches the Rfam family "Bacterial small subunit ribosomal RNA", at positions 77 to 900 of the family's 1533-position model. Lineage: Bacteria; Bacillati; Actinomycetota; Actinomycetes; Actinomycetales. The record is from RNAcentral.